This 433-nucleotide ribosomal RNA is filed under the name uncultured bacterium. Its description in RNAcentral is "partial 16S ribosomal RNA". It matches the Rfam family "Bacterial small subunit ribosomal RNA", at positions 29 to 507 of the family's 1533-position model. The record is from RNAcentral.
AACGAACGCUGGCGGCAUGCCUAACACAUGCAAGUCGAACGAGACCUUCGGGUCUAGUGGCGCACGGGUGCGUAACGCGUGGGAACCUGCCCUUAGGUUCGGAAUAACUCCCCGAAAGGGGUGCUAAUACCGGAUAAUGUCUUCGGACCAAAGAUUUAUCGCCUUUGGAUGGGCCCGCGUUGGAUUAGCUAGUUGGUAGGGUAAAAGCCUACCAAGGCGACGAUCCAUAGCUGGUCUGAGAGGAUGAUCAGCCACACUGGGACUGAGACACGGCCCAGAAUCCUACGGGAGGCAGCAGUGGGGAAUAUUGGAAAAUGGGCGAAAGCAUGAUCCAGCAAUGCCGCGUGAGUGAUGAAGGCCUUAGGGUUGUAAAGCUCUUUUACCCGGGAUGAUAAUGACAGUACCGGGAGAAUAAGCUCCGGCUAACUCCGUG